Molecule: ribosomal RNA, 1137 nt
Filed under: Acanthobothrium sp. 1-37_larva
Lineage: Eukaryota; Metazoa; Platyhelminthes; Cestoda; Tetraphyllidea; Onchobothriidae
Description: partial large subunit ribosomal RNA
Rfam family: Eukaryotic large subunit ribosomal RNA
Source: RNAcentral
AAAGUUGAAAAGUACUCUGAAGAGAGAGUAAACAGUACGUGAAACCGCAUGCAGGUAAACGGGUGGCGUCAAGCUGCAAGCACUGAGGAUUCAGCCGGUUAGGAUGUUGUGUAUGCGCCUGGCGCAUCCAUCAGUCGGAGUAUGAUUAGAUAGUCCACUGGUAAACGGUGGGCCCGGCCGCAAGGUUGGGAUAUGUGUACCGGGUGUGUGCCGGAGCAUGCUAUCUGUCUAUGGACUGCCUAGCCGGUGCACUUUCUCUGUGCUGACACCACGACCGGUGGCAUUGCCAGUCUGCUGUGUCCAAGUCGUAUUCGGUAGGUCCUUGUGGCCAACUGGGUGCGAUCACAGGCAAACUCAGUAUACGGCGUAGGGGGGCUUCGGCACUUCUGCGUGUUAUCGGCUACUGGUUGUCAACGGGCCGCCUAGUGUUCCUUGUAACGGGCACUCGGGUGGUCUGGUGGGGCAUGGUGGUAAGAAUAACUGUGCAAGGCACCGGGGUUAUCGGCCUCAAAUGCACUCCGCGCCCACGUUACAAGUGGCCAUGGCGGUGCGGUAGCUGCCUGCUCGGUGUUGGGUCUGAUUGUCGUGUCGCCUGCGCAAAGUGGGCCCGGCAGUGGCUCGACUCGAGGUGGGUAGUGCACCGUGCUGUCUGUGUGGAGUGUGGUGGGCCUAAUAGUCUGUGGUGUAGUGGUAGACGAGCUACCCGACCCGUCUUGAAACACGGACCAAGGAGUUCAACAUGUAUGCGAGUCAAUGGGCUCUACGAAACCCAAAGGCGCAAUGAAAGUAAAGCUCCGACUCGUCUCGGAGUGAGGUGAGAUCCUGCUGUUACUCGCAUCAGCCUAAUGCCAGCAUCAGGCUAAGAGCAGUGGGCGCAUCACCGGCCCGUCCCAUGAUGUGGUCAUUGGAUGUCUGCGGUCGCAUUUCGGUGUGGCCGUGGUGCCAGUGCGUCAUCGGGGCGGAGCAUGAGCAUACACGUUGAGACCCGAAAGAUGGUGAACUAUGCUUGCGUAGGUUGAAGCCAGAGGAAACUCUGGUGGAGGACCGCAGCGAUUCUGACGUGCAAAUCGAUCGUCAAACGUGAGCAUAGGGGCGAAAGACUAAUCGAACCAUCUAGUAGCUGGUUCCCUCCGAAGU